UACGUAGGGUGCGAGCGUUGUCCGGAAUUAUUGGGCGUAAAGAGCUCGUAGGCGGUUUGUCGCGUCGGCCGUGAAAACUUGGGGCUUAACCCCGAGCCUGCGGUCGAUACGGGCAGACUUGAGUUCGGCAGGGGAGACUGGAAUUCCUGGUGUAGCGGUGAAAUGCGCAGAUAUCAGGAGGAACACCGGUGGCGGAGGCGGGUCUCUGGGCCGAUACUGACGCUGAGGAGCGAAAGCGUGGGGAGCGAACAGG
RNAcentral lists this ribosomal RNA (253 nucleotides) under uncultured bacterium. Its description in RNAcentral is "partial 16S ribosomal RNA". It matches the Rfam family "Bacterial small subunit ribosomal RNA", at positions 524 to 776 of the family's 1533-position model. The record is from RNAcentral.